GUCCGCGCCGCCGCCGGUCUCCUAGGCGCCUCCGCGGGUCCGGCCCGGGCAGCUGGAGAGCGGAGCGGCUCUGGAGCGCUGGACCCGUGAUGCCCGCCCACGUGCGACCUCUCCCCGGAGCCGCGCGCUCGCUCACCUGCAGACCUCCAGGCUGCGCGCACACCCCGCUCCUGCGGCUUUUAGGGCUUGGGAAGCUCAUUAAGGCCCACAGGCACGCGGAGCCGGUGCAGAAGGGUGGUAGCCAACAUUCCGGCGGGACCGAGAAGGAAAAUAACAACUGUCCAAAAUAGAAUCAAAGCGCUGGGGAUGUUUACGUGAGGAUGGUGGCACCAUCACAACUUCCUGUCAGACAGGUUUUCCGUGUGGGUGAAAUAGGAGCCUGAACGCCAUCCUCAAAUUAGGUCAUGGAUCCAAAACCCAAAUACACAUCAUGGGAAUAUUGGAUUUUACACUCAGUUGAAAGAAAACAAUCAAUCCAAUGUUGGACGUUCAAAGAAAGCAAAGAUUCUGUUUUCAAGAUAAAAACGAAACUAGGAAACAAAAUAGCCCAGAAAUGUUUCCUGGUGACUUUGAAAAUGGGCAAGAGUUGUUAAUGACAAGAUUGUCUAAGCCACUCAGUGAUGUAAUAAUGGCUCUUUCUGAGUCUCUGUAUUUCCUGGGGACACUGAAACCUAUCAAAAUCAAAGGUCAAGUGGUAUGUCU
RNAcentral lists this long non-coding RNA (702 nucleotides) under Marmota monax (woodchuck). Lineage: Eukaryota; Metazoa; Chordata; Mammalia; Rodentia; Sciuridae. The record is from RNAcentral.